Parus major (Great Tit) is the source of this 786-nucleotide long non-coding RNA. RefSeq lists it as uncharacterized. NCBI's taxonomy places the organism in Eukaryota, Metazoa, Chordata, Aves, Passeriformes, Paridae. The record is from RefSeq and is a predicted model, not a curated record. The transcript is spliced from 2 exons.
CCAAGUGACUUUUUAUACAACCCUGGAAUGUUCCCAGGGAAUGAAAACUGCCAAAAAAGGAAAAAAGCCCAGGCAGAGCUUUACCCACCCCCGGGUCGUCCUCCUCGGGCUGGGUCUGAAAUAGAGAGUGGUGGAGUUGUUGGACAUCAGCAGUGGGUGGUUUGUGAAGAGCAAAAAUGGGAAUUGUAACGCUGCUUUUUUUACUUACGUCCUUUUUUUGAUAGGAAAAGGGAAGAUAAGUGACAGGAGCCUGUCCAGGGAGGGCUCCUACAGCCUUGUCCUCUCCCAGCACUGCUCCAGCUCUCACCCUUCCCAGGGAGGGACAAGGUUGAGGUGACAAAAAUCAGCUCCCAGGAUGCUGCAGCCUCCUCUCCUUGAAAUUUUGGAUGAGUCAAUUUUUGGGGUAACAGAACCACUCAAGAUGGGUAUCAGAAGGAACAAAGCUCCAGUAUCAGAGGCUUUACAUGGUCCAGAAAAAGAGAAGGUGUGGUUUUCAGUGGGCAGGAGACAGACCUGUCAUGGGCAGAACUGAAAACAACUGGUGAACUGUGACAAGCCAAACCAUAAAUUCAUCUGCACAUGUUUAUAAAAUAUUUAUCUUCUCUCCCUUGCACUUCAUUUCCAAGAUAUUUUAAGAGUCAACUCAUGAUUUUCUUCAACAAACCCUUCUCCACCCACACAUCACAGUCUCAUAUAAACGCAUCUUUCUAUUGAGACCAUUAGAGAGAUUUUCCUCCCUAAAUGACAAAAAACCCCCAGAGUUUAAAAUAAAAUAAAUAAAUAAUA